UAUCAUAGAUCCUUGAAAAUGAGCCAUUUC
RNAcentral lists this non-coding RNA (30 nucleotides) under Rattus norvegicus (Norway rat). Lineage: Eukaryota; Metazoa; Chordata; Mammalia; Rodentia; Muridae. The record is from RNAcentral.